Molecule: long non-coding RNA, 1002 nt
Filed under: Ananas comosus (pineapple)
Lineage: Eukaryota; Viridiplantae; Streptophyta; Magnoliopsida; Poales; Bromeliaceae
Description: long non-coding RNA (ACOM_LNC044352)
Source: RNAcentral
AAAAAAAAAAAAUCUAAUUAAAGAUAUUAUAGUAAUUUUAAAUUCAUAAAAUGUUGAAAAGACUUCACAUAUAUACAUUAUAUAUAGAAUUGAGCUCCUAUGCUUUUAAAAGUGCCAAGUUGUUGGUGCUUGUAGAUUUUUUACCAUUGGAUUAAGGAAUGUGUGGUUAGGAUGAUGUGGGCCCCAUAGGGUUGAGUGAGUGGUUGGUUGAAUAGUAUAAUCUAACGGCUGAAAAUGAUUAAAGGCGUAGAUCUAAUGGUAUAAAAUUUACAAGUAUCAAGUGCUUGGUGCUUUUAAGCACCUUAGCCGGACUCUUUUAUAUAUAUAUAUAUAUAUAUAUAGAAUUAGGCUACUAUACUAUCUAUAGUACCGAGCUCCGGUACUAUAGUGUUUGUUUUCGAUCUUAGGGCGUUCAAAUCAACGAUCCACACCGUUAAAUAUGAUCUAGGGUAUAUGAAUUUCUUAGGAAUUCGAUAUCGUNUAUAUAUAUAUAUAUAUAUGAGUGCGUCUGGUAUGCUUCUGGAAGCACAGAGCGCUCCGUGCUUCCAAGUCGUUUUUGAUGUUGGGACUUUCGAAUCGAUGAUCAGCUCUGUUAGAUUUGAUCUAGAGUAUUUUAAGUAUCUAGAAAAUAAAUUUGCGAUUUUUUGAUAUCAUUUGCUUAGUGAUCGAAGUGGCUCAAAAUCAACGGCUGAAAAUAAAAAUCUUACAAAAUAUGAUGAUAUAACAUUAAAAUUUUAGAUCAAAAAUAUUGAUCUUAUUUUAUAUAGUAUAAAGAAUUUUCUAUCAAAAUUUUAUGUGAUUUGGAUAUUUCUAUACCGUUAAACUUGCAAACAGCUCAUCACGACCAUCAAAAUUAUUGAUUUUGAUAUAAAAAAAUCACAAAAUUUAUUUUCUAGAUACUUCAAAUACUCUAGAUCAAAUAUAACGGAGCCGAUCAUCGAUUCGAAAGUCCCAACAUCGAAAACGACUUGGAAGCACGGAAGGCUUCGUGCUUACCAUGGA